UCCAGACUCCUACGGGAGGCAGCAGUGGGGAAUUUUGCACAAUGGAGGAAACUCUGAUGCAGCGACGCCGCGUGAGCGAUGAAGCCCUUCGGGGUGUAAAGCUCUUUCGACGGGAACGAUAAUGACGGUACCCGAAGAAGAAGCUGCGGCUAACUACGUGCCAGCAGCCGCGGUAAUACGUAGGCAGCGAGCGUUGUUCGGAAUUACUGGGCGUAAAGAGUGUGUAGGUGGUGCUCUAAGUUUGGUGUGAAAUCUCCCGGCUUAACUGGGAGGGUGCGCCGAAAACUGGAGUGCUUGAGUAUGGGAGAGGUAAGCGGAAUUCCUGGUGUAGCGGUGAAAUGCGUAGAUAUCAGGAGGAACACCCGUG
Molecule: ribosomal RNA, 367 nt
Filed under: uncultured bacterium
Lineage: Bacteria
Description: bacterial SSU rRNA
Rfam family: Bacterial small subunit ribosomal RNA
Source: RNAcentral